Non-coding RNA from Triticum aestivum (bread wheat), 134 nucleotides. Lineage: Eukaryota; Viridiplantae; Streptophyta; Magnoliopsida; Poales; Poaceae. The record is from Rfam.
UAAGUAUCCCUCCGUCCCAAAAUUCUUGUCUUACAUUUGUCUUGAUACGGAUGUAUCCAGUACUAAAAAGUGACUUGAUACAUCCGUAUUUACACAAAUCUAAGACAAGAAUUUUAAGACGAAGGGAGUAUAUA